Molecule: long non-coding RNA, 457 nt
Organism: Gigantopelta aegis
Lineage: Eukaryota; Metazoa; Mollusca; Gastropoda; Neomphalida; Peltospiridae
Exons: 2
Source: RefSeq, a predicted model, not a curated record
GUCGCCUAUGGGAUUUGAAUUGGUAUAGUCCAACCUCCUCACAUGCGAAACGUGACGACUGAAAAGUAAAUCAAAUUCACAAUACAAAAUGAUUAGAUUGCAGCCGUCGGGAAAGGGCGAUUAUGAAGAUGAGAAAGCGAAAGCUCAAAACGAAAAUAGACUAGCCUUGCAAAGUACUAUUCAGAAUGUUAUUUUGUUUGGCAUCACUUGUGGAGUUAUUCGAUCUUUGCCUUGGCUAAUGAACCAAAUGAGUUGAACCAGUGUCCUUUGCUGCAGAAUACUGUGACCAGUUUUUGCCACACAGUGAGAAUACAAUUCUGCGAGUGUGCCAUGAACUAAGUAGAAGAAAGUCUUGAAACAGAUUAUAAAGAUGACUUUAUUGAUCAGUAAAACAUUCGAGUAUAUGGUCAAAGUUGAAUGUUACAGUAGGUAAUCAUAUAUAAAGUAUAAAACAUUG